This 3681-nucleotide long non-coding RNA is filed under the name Volvox carteri. RNAcentral describes it as "long non-coding RNA (VCAR_LNC002480)". The record is from RNAcentral. Lineage: Eukaryota; Viridiplantae; Chlorophyta; Chlorophyceae; Chlamydomonadales; Volvocaceae.
GAUAAUUUCCUUUUUCGCAACUGCUUGCCAACUGCAAGCUUUGUUACAACUUUGGUAUCUUAGACCAACCGGUCAAAAGACCUCGGAGUCGAGUACUCCAACGCUUCCGCACCUACAUCUCAGUUUCUUCAAACAUUUUCUAUUUAGCCCUCAUGGCCAGUCCCAGGAACCCUCAACGCACCCAGUCGGCGGAGGCCGACCAUGAGCGCUACCAGCUGCGCCAGGUGAGCCCGUCAAAAGCGCAAAAACUGGUACAAAAGGUCCAGGACAUGUACGAAAAGUACGUGAGACGCGCCCAGCGUAGGGGCAUAACACCGCCGUCGCGCAUGUUUGACAAAGUCAGACAAUUCUGCGAAGAGCAAGACUAUCGCUCCGCACUAGGCUUCCUAAUGGAAGCUAACGAGGAACUCUCUCACGUGCAGAAAAGCCGCGAAAUGAGGGAACGCCUAGCCAAUGCGGCGCAGGACGCCGACAACGACCCAACAGGGCCGGGGCCAUCGCGCGCACGCACUGCGCAGCCAACGGCUGCCACAACGGGGCCGACCAGGGUAACGCUGCCCACGGCCGCGCUCCAGCCGCAACGCGGCACACGGCAGGGUGAGUUGCGUGAAGAGCGUGAACGUAACGACACCACUGCGGCUGACCUCGUCCCGNNNNNNNNNNNNNNNNNNNNNNNNNNNNNNNNNNNNNNNNNNNNNNNNNNGCGUGGCCCCCAGUGGGCGUACCCCUGCCUAGGCGCUAUUGCGGACUUUUGGCUGCUUUCAGGACAGGGACCCGUUGGGAUAACAGACCCCGCUGCGCCAUCUCAAAGCAACUACCCCUCUGCCGCGGCGCCAUCCACCGGAAACGGACCCAACCUCACGAGCACUAAUACUCUGAGUCGGCCACUCGCGGUCUACAGAUUCGUGUUCUUCAUAAGCUAAGCCUGACCCGUAGCUUCUAAUCCAGCCUGGUCAAACAACAGCGGCGGCGCAUCCCUUUCCCGCUAUUUUAAAUACUGGGUCCGGUCUCUCCCAUGCCUUUGAUAUAACAGAACUUGCGGCGGCUGGCUGUGCCUACAGUCUGACCGCGCGGAGCAAUAGCUGGCGUCUGUUACUCACCGCAUCGGCCCCCUCCGGGUAACUAGGUGGUCCGCCAUUCUGGUGUCCUCCUUCGUCUCGCUGUUGGAGGAUGUCCUCCAAGCCUUCUUGGCCUCCGCCGCGCGAUUGCUCGCGCUCUGCCAUCACUUCGCUGUUACUGGCGACCGAUAUGCCAGCAACGUCGAAUCGCCUUAUCUACUUUACUAUUGAGCUGGGUCCCGAAUACAAAGUAAAUCACUAUUUAAACAAUUCAAAAUCCCCAACAGACGACGUUCUGACUUGCGCUUGCUUGCACGGUUGACUGGCGAACUAGCGUUGUCUGGAUUCAGCGCUUUGUUCCCAGCUAAUCUUUGUAACGCACUACCGUAUCAGUCACUGUCCUCUGGCCAAUUCCGGUCUGCUCCUCCCGCGCCGCACUUGCCGUACUACACUACAGGACGAGCACUUAAUCAACAUGCAUUGCUGUUGUAUGCUGACGACCUUAGUCUCUUUGCUGGGUCGCACAGGCGAUUUAUGGCAUUGUUGCGUGCGCUAAAGGAAUGGUGCGAAGCUUUUGGCAUGAGAGUAAAUGUGGGAAAGUGUGAGGUAUUGUAUUUUCAUCGGGACCUGGAGGCACGCAAGGCUAUGCACGUUUUGGGUUCGUACGGGCUUGUUACCAUGAUUGUGAAGGAGGCUACGGGACACGCGCUCAAGAGUUUACCUUGGAAGGAGCGCGCACGAUAUUUGGGCCUGCAUUAUGGACCGGGUACAACUUUCGAAUCGUGCACAGAUGAGUUGUUUGCAUCAGGCCAGAAGGCGCUCUUCUCGCUGGUUAGUAAGCUUAAGCGACAAGGGCUUUUUGUCCCAGCUGUUGCGGUGAAAGCGUUUGAUGCCCAGGUUUUGUCUAUUCUGUCGUACAGGGUACAGGUUUGGGGCCCGUUAAGGGUUCUGGACAUCCUGGAGCGCGGUUACCCUAGCAGCCAGGAACCACGAUCGUGUUACUUUGAGAUUGCACUGCAGGACAGGAUGGUGGAACUGCAGAAGAACUUCCUGAAGCAGUUGAGUGGUGCUGGCUUACCAACAAAUCGACUACUAUUCAGAGAGUUGGGUCAAUACCCUUUGCAAUUGCAUUGGGCAAACCUGAUUUUUCGUUUUUGGAACAGAUUGGUUGAGGCAAAAGGUUCUGUGUACCACCAUUGCUUUCGGGAGGAACUGCGGUUAGCAUUAUCAUCUGGCAUGACGUAUGAUGGAUGGGGAGCGAAAGUCCUGAAGAUCCUUGAGUUGAUGGGUCAUAACGUGCGGACGGGUGUGGACGACUCAGGCGACAUUGAGGUCAAAGUUGAUUCUCUGGCGACACGUUCACUAGAUGUAGGCCAGUUGAUCUGUGAACUUCGGAGCCGAUUUGAUGAUGACUGGGAAAGUGAGCGGUUGACAGUGGAUCCAGCUUUGUUUGUUUCAGAUAAUAGGCAACCAGGGGUAAAGAUGUGUCGCUAUAAGCAUUGGAUGGGUUUGCCCAAGAAUGGCAGCGGCUAUAUCUCGCCAAAACAGCACGUCACGCUGAUGCGUUUCAGGAUGUGUGUUUGGCCUUUGGCGGUUAAUCGACCGCACGGUAGGGAACGGUCUGCCCGGUGGUGCCGGGUCUGUGGGAACCGGCAAGCUGUUGAGGAUGAAUGUCAUGUGCUGCUAGAUUGUCCUGCGUAUGCGAAUAUCCGUUUGAAGCUUUGGGACCUGGGGGUUACUCCUGGGAACCGCAUGAUCGAGAUUAUGGGCGUCAAGGAUCAACGCGGGUUAGCGCACNNNNNNNNNNNNNNNNNNNNNNNNNNNNNNNNNNNNNNNNNNNNNNNNNNCACGACUUAGUCGCACGCCAAGGCUCCACGCUCACAAUCCAGAGCAUGCGUGCCGACUUCUUGUUGCUUUUCGGUGACGUGCACCGUUGCACCCCUCACCACGUACGAACGCAACUUCACGCCGGUGCACACGCAAUGAAGCCCGGCGAGUCCAUACCGAAUUACGUGCAACGGUUCCGCGAAAUUACGCGCGGCGACCCUAACAUGUCUCAAAUUGACUUGUGCACUUGGCUUAUUCACGGUAUGCCACCGCAACUGCGGCGGGAAUGCGCCACGGAUGCCAACGGCAAUAACUGGUUUGCAUUCGAUGCUUUAGUUAACUACGCCCAAGGUGCACAAACGCGCCACGAGGCGGGCAAGGCGCAAACGGCGCGACUUAACUUUCUAGGCACUAACGAUGCCCCUGCCCAUCCCCGACAGAAUGGCGGCCGCGGCAACCACACCCAACGGGGUGGAUCCGGCAACCGCACCGACCACCGAGGUAGCCGCUAUGGCGGUCGCGGCGGCGGUCGAGCUGGCGGUCGCGGUGGCGCCUCUGGCGGACGCGGCCGAGGCGGCAACUUGGAACUGCCGACUUGGGUCCGCGAGAUGGCGAAGGAAAAGAAUAUCUGCUACCACUGCGGAGAGCCCUUCGGCAAGGGCCACCUAUGCGGCAAACGGCCGCGUUACAACAACGAGGACCGCAAAAACGCGGAUGCCUAGGANAUUGCCCACGCCGUAGCCUCAGGCAGCUCGUGUGGGGAACCAAUGGACAUCGAGGAACCAACCCGGAAUCN